This 92-nucleotide transfer RNA is filed under the name Oscillospiraceae bacterium. RNAcentral's name for it is "tRNA-Ser". It matches the Rfam family "tRNA". Rfam says of the family: Transfer RNA (tRNA) molecules are approximately 80 nucleotides in length. Their secondary structure includes four short double-helical elements and three loops (D, anti-codon, and T loops). Further hydrogen bonds mediate the characteristic L-shaped molecular structure. tRNAs have two regions of fundamental functional importance: the anti-codon, which is responsible for specific mRNA codon recognition, and the 3' end, to which the tRNAs corresponding amino acid is attached (by aminoacyl-tRNA synthetases). tRNAs cope with the degeneracy of the genetic code in two manners: having more than one tRNA (with a specific anti-codon) for a particular amino acid; and 'wobble' base-pairing, i.e. permitting non-standard base-pairing at the 3rd anti-codon position. Lineage: Bacteria; Bacillati; Bacillota; Clostridia; Eubacteriales; Oscillospiraceae. The record is from RNAcentral.
GGAGAAGUACCCAAGAGGCCGAAGGGGCUCCCCUGCUAAGGGAGUAGGGCGUUUAUAGCGUCGCCGGGGUUCAAAUCCCCGCUUCUCCGCCA